Molecule: ribosomal RNA, 253 nt
Filed under: uncultured bacterium
Lineage: Bacteria
Description: partial 16S ribosomal RNA
Rfam family: Bacterial small subunit ribosomal RNA
Source: RNAcentral
UACGUAGGGUGCAAGCGUUAAUCGGAAUUACUGGGCGUAAAGCGUGCGCAGGCGGUUUUGUAAGUCUGUCGUGAAAGCCCCGGGCUCAACCUGGGAAUUGCGAUGGAGACUGCAAGGCUUGAAUGUGGCAGAGGGGAGUAGAAUUCCACGUGUAGCAGUGAAAUGCGUAGAGAUGUGGAGGAACACCGAUGGCGAAGGCAGCCCCCUGGGUCAAGAUUGACGCUCAUGCACGAAAGCGUGGGGAGCAAACAGG